Molecule: ribosomal RNA, 468 nt
Filed under: uncultured bacterium
Lineage: Bacteria
Description: partial 16S ribosomal RNA
Rfam family: Bacterial small subunit ribosomal RNA
Source: RNAcentral
GACGAACGCUGGCGGCGUGCUUAACACAUGCAAGUCGAACGGAAAGACCCUGCUUUUGUGGGUUGCUCGAGUGGCGAACGGGUGUGUAAAACGUGUGUAACCUGCACUUGUCUUUGGGAUAACUUCAGGGAACUGGGGCUAAUACCGGGGAUAAGCUCCUGAUGCAUGUUGGUGGUUGGAAAGUUUCGGCGGUUGGGGCUGGACUCGCGGGUUAUCAGCUUGUUGGUGUGGUAGUGGCGUACCAAGGCUUUGACGGGUAGCCGGCCUGAGAGGGUGACCGGCGACAUGGGGACUGAGAGAGGGACCAGACUGCUACGGGAGGCAGCAGUGGAGAACAUUACACAGUGGGCGGAAGCCUGAGGCAGCAACGCCGCGUGCGUGAUGACGUCUUUUGGGGGGUAAACCGCUUUCUCAGGUGACGAAGCGGGAGUGACGGUAAUGGGUAAAGAAGCACCGGCUAACUACGUG